RNAcentral lists this ribosomal RNA (467 nucleotides) under uncultured bacterium. Its description in RNAcentral is "partial 16S ribosomal RNA". It matches the Rfam family "Bacterial small subunit ribosomal RNA", at positions 29 to 507 of the family's 1533-position model. The record is from RNAcentral.
ACGCACGCUGGCGGCGUGCUUCACCCCUGCAAGUCGCACGGAAAGGCCCUGCUUUUGUGGGGUGCUCGAGUGGCGAACGGGUGAGUAACACGUGAGUAACCUGCCCUUGACUUUGGGAUAACUUCAGGAAACUGGGGCUAAUACCGGAUAGGAGCUCCUGCUGCAUGGUGGGGGUUGGAAAGUUUCGGCGGUUGGGGAUGGACUCGCGGCUUAUCAGCUUGUUGGUGGGGUAGUGGCUUACCAAGGCUUUGACGGGUAGCCGGCCUGAGAGGGUGACCGGGCACAUUGGGACUGAGAUACGGCCCAGACUCCUACGGGAGGCAGCAGUGGGGAAUAUUGCACAAUGGGCGGAAGCCUGAUGCAGCAACGCCGCGUGCGGGAUGACGGCCUUCGGGUUGUAAACCGCUUUCGCCUGUGACGAAGCGUGAGUGACGGUAAUGGGUAAAGAAGCACCGGCUAACUACGUG